RNAcentral lists this long non-coding RNA (5582 nucleotides) under Canis lupus familiaris (dog). RNAcentral's name for it is "lncRNA (ENSCAFG00000055937.1)". Lineage: Eukaryota; Metazoa; Chordata; Mammalia; Carnivora; Canidae. The record is from RNAcentral.
GCAGGGUUCCACGGAGGGGACAGAAGUCCCUCUGCAGAGGAGCCACAGACCGCUGACCCCAUCCCCCUCCUCCCCACACGUCCUCAGGAGCACCUAGCUGGGUCGCUGCCCAAGACCAGAAUUUGGGGGCCUGCAAGCCAAGGGCCUGGGCACCCUUGCCCUCACCGCCUUCCAGGUCUUUCUGAGACUCUGCCAGCCUGGAGAGGUCUCUGGCAGGCAGGCCAUUGGGAGGAGUGAGCUCACAGGGCUGUGGGUCCCCCCUGCCCUGCCCCCCUCCCCUGCCACUGCCCCUGUGGCCACAGAAUGGCCCCAGGCCUGGGAGGCUGGGCCCCGGGUCUGGGCACCCAUGACAUGCUCUGUUAACCUGAGCUGGUUGCAACAUGCAGAGCCCUUCUGGGAAAGUCUUCCAGCUCCCGCGAGAGGAGGGGGCAUUGCCAGUCGCUGGGGCGGGUGCAGGCCACCACGCCCAGGCCUCUGCGCCGAGCUGCCGUUCACUCAGGCUGCGCGCCGUGCGGGCCGGGCUGUGCGCCGGGGGCCCGUGUCCUGCCGUGUGUGAUCUGAGUGUGGACAUGUGCGUGCGGACCUGCGUGCUCUGUGUGUUUGCACAGAAGACACGUGCACGACCGAGUGUUUGCAGCAGCACCCUGAGGAACGGCCCUGAACGGGGAACCCUGCGCACCCCUGCUGAUGGCCUCCGCCGGGAGGAGGGACUGCCCCCCACUCCUGGGUGCCAGCACGCUGCGAUACCGCGCCACGGGAGCCACACCUGGAAGCCGGCCGGACCUGGGGCUCAGGCACACGUGGCACAGAAGAGGCCUGAUGCUCUGGGUUCUCGGGAGGUGGGGUGGUGGCCUGGGGGAGUGGGCCUCGGGCUGGGGGCGCCCCCGACUGCAGAGAGUAGACCCUGAGGCCCCGGGAGAAGCGACGGGUCGGGGCCAGCCCGGGGAAAGUGGACUGUGGGGUCUGGCUCUCAGCGGGCUCUGUGGACCUGAAGUUAAGCGUCAGAGCACCGGAAGCCUCGGCCAGAGGACGGAGUGAGGUCCGUGUCCUGCGGGGGCUGUGGGAGCCAGCUGAGCGGGGCCGGCUGGGGUGUGGUGGGAAGGUGGGGCUCCUUAACUCGUUCUGAGGACCUGCCUGGGCUCCGGGCCACUCCCAAGUGAUGGCCAGGGGCAUGGGGGUGGCUGCUGGGUGGCUGUGUGCCGAGUGGUGAGGACUCAGGAGGGUCCCUUGCCCCGAGGCUGGGAGCCGCCACUCACCCGACGAGGGGCAUCCUUGCAGGUUGGGAGACGAGACCCUAAAUCUUGGGGUUGGGAGACCGGGGUUCGAGCUGGUGUAAGUGAUAGUCCCCGCCGCAUUCCCAAGCUUCCUUUACGGCCUGUCUGAUCCCCGCCAGGCUGUGAGGAGCCCCCUCUCCAAAUGGGGGAACCAAGGCCCAAAGAGGCAGUGUCAUGUUCCCCAGCCACCCAGUGGGAAGUGGGAGCUGGGGCUUGACAUCACCAAGGACUAGCUCCCCAGGGCCCCGCAGCGCUGGCCACAGAGAUUUUUAUCUCGCAGCGGCCCCUGGAGCUCAGGCGGUGAGCAGCGGCCUCUGUAGGUUCAGGCUGGGGCAGGCGGGGCGAGGAGGGCCGCGCAGGGGCUGAGCUGCAGCGCUGGAAAUUCCACCCAGACCCGCCAGACAGGCAGCUCUCCCCCUGCCCGGACAGGAGCCGCCCUAGGGAGCCGACGGUGCCUGUAGGUCUGGGAGAGGCCCAUGCGGGCUCUGGUGCUAGGCCGGCCUGCCCCCAGGCUCCUUCUGGCCCCCAACCCCUGCAGGCCGCACCUGGCUGCCACUCUCAGGGUUUCUGAAGGACACGAGGAGACACUCUCCUGCACGCCGGGCAGGGGGCAGCAGGGACACAGGGCAGGGUGUGCUGGUGGCUGGAAGCAGAGCCAGAAGGGGUGCAUCAUGCUGACAGCCUCUCCUCUCAUCUCCUGGGAGGCCCAGGGCCAACCAGCCCACGGGUCAUGGUGCCAUGGGGAUGUGUGACCUCCUCAGGUGGGCAGGUGACAUGAACACUUUGGCCAAGGCCAAGUAGACAGAGUUAGUCUUCCAGGGCAGCACCCCAUCCGGGCCUCCACUCUCCGGGAAUGUGAGGAGGGUCCAAGGAAGGGGCAGGAGGUGGAGGGAGGUGGCAGUCGGGGGGUGGGGGAGGGGGUGAAGUCCGCAGCCUCCCGUGGUUUUGGGAAGAAGGUGUGGGUAGAAGGAGGUUGUGGUGCCAGGGCUCUGCGGGCCGGGCCUCCCCAGCAGGCUGCUCCGCAUCUGCUAGGAGUGCUGACAGCAGCUGUGGGGCCCCAGGGGCUCCAGAAGCCAAGGUCUGCUGGGUCUGGGGGUGUCGCUAUGGGGCUUGGGUCAGGGAGAAGCCCACAGGGGUGAGGAGCUGGGUUGCUAUCGCUGGGCCUGUGCAGCCUGUGCACAGGAGGGGGUGUCUGGGCGGCCGCUGGGGUGAGAUGCCUGAGCUCUGCUCCUUAGGGCCUCAGACGGGCUCAGGGGUACCCACCUCCUCCCCUCUGGAUGCCCAGAUUGGAAGGUCUCUGCUGGGGCUGAACCCCCGGAAGGAGCAGGUGGGAGGAAGGGCGGGUGGGUCAGCCACUCGAUGGCCCUGCGCACCUGCCACCUACACUGGGCAGAGGGCUAAAGCUGGGGGUGUCCAAGCAGGCAGCCCUGGCGUCGGUCCCCGUCCUGCCUGUAACCCCCGUGUGACCUGGGCACAUCGCUUCACCUCUCGGGGCCUCAGUUUCUCACUGGGGGGUAAUGGGACCCCGCCCCAUGGCAGGUUGUUUUAAGGCUCCUUUCUAUCAAGUGAUGCGUGUCCAGGUGACACCUGUGCAGGUGACACGUUCCAGGUGAUGGGUGUCCGGGCAAUGCGUGCCCAGGUGACAGAUACUCAGCCAAGAACCUGGCAGGCCGGGUGCUCAGCCAAGUGCAGACGGAGGCCCCCGUGUCCCCUGGCCGCGGUCCCUCCACGCGCACCCCCUUCCCCGCAGCCCGGGGGCUAACAGUGCUGCUCACAGGGGCGCCUCCUGUCCUGGCCAAGUACAGGGACCGGGGCUGCAAAGAUCCUUUGCACAAGGAAGGACCCUCCGCCCCCAAGUUUGAGGGCAAGGACUCAGGCUCCAACAGGCACACACUUGCAUUGCAGGGACACUCUGGGUCCACUGAGUCUUGGUGACUGUCCAGGGGCGGGGCCACUGGCCUCAUGCACAGAAGGCCUGCGCCGGGCACUACAGGGGGAUGCCCACAGCGGUGCGGGUUCCUGCCCUGCUCCUGGGCCAGCCCGGCCCCGGGCUCCUCCAGGGUCUGAGGCUGUGGUGGGGGAGCGGGGCUCCUCACCUCCUGGCCUCCCCUGUACCCCUCGGGUGUGCAGGUCCCGACCCGGCUCCUUCCCUGCGGUCACUCCUGUCUCUCUCCACCCACCCGUGGAACAACAACGACAGAGCAGUAAAGAUAGCAGUGGCGGCUGCUCCUGAGGGUCCCCUCUGUGCCGGGCGCUGUGCCAGGCUCCAAGCGCUGCAGGGGCGCUGCCGUGGCCCCCAGGUUUCUCCGAGGGAGCUGAGUGCAGAGAGGUUGCCCACGGGCUGUCUGUACCUCAACCCACCCUUUCCCAAGUGACCGUCACUGCGCCCUCCCUGCCUCCUGUCCGGCCCGCAGGGGGUCAGGCACACAGUCGGACACGCUCCAGGGUCCUCGGUGCGAGCCUUACGGAGCACCUGCUGCAGCCAGGCUUGGCGCCCCGGCCUCCUGCGGGAGCCGACUGGCCCAUUCUACAGAUUCGGGACUGAGCGAGCCUCGAAGCGGACAAGGCGCUCGAGUCUCUCUCCACUCUCGAGGGGCCUCUGUGGUGACGGCAACGCGUCCACGGCAGCUGUGGCCACAUCGCUUGUCUGGCUGUGCCUCAGUGUCCCUGUCCCUGAAGCAGACGGUGGGGGUGGACCCUGAGCCGGGCUCCUGCAGGCGCAAGAGUCCGUGCCCCCCGGUGCUGUCAGGACUCUUUGCCCUUGGUGGGUGCUCCGGUGACAACCGGCCGGCUGGUGGUCAGGGGCCAGCCUGGGAGCCCCGGUGCCGGGCACCCACUCACUGGUCUCCCAUUCGGCAUGAAGUAACUAUGAUAAGCCCAUUGCACAGAUGAGGAAGCUGAGGCUCGGGGCGACAUCACCUUUCCACGGUGGCCAGCUUGCCAGGGGCAGAGCCCAGGCCUAGCGACUCCCAGGUCAGUUCACGUCCAGGGACACGUCGCCGCUGGGGUGGUUUCUAACAUCGCCAGACACGCAGACCAGGGAUAGGCGUGCAUAAGUGAACGAUGCCCACACACACGCAGGGAGGCACCAGUAUCCUAACCGUGUGCUAGCACCCCGACACAUGCACGCCGUGCCCUCGGUGCCACCCUUGGCCACCCCCUGUGCAGGCACACAGCCCUGCAUUGGCUCACCGACAGCUGAACACACAUGUACACGCCGGCGCACGCGCACACCUGGUUGUGGCUCCCACGUGCACACAUGCACGGAGGACAAGGCAGGUGCGCGCUUGCUUGGCGGGCUCAGGUAACAGCGGGCCCUGCAACCUGACUCCUUGAGGACGGGCUGGCCCUCUGGGGCUGCACCCUUGCUGGCUUCCACCUUGAGGCCUGGUCAGGGGAGGCUGAGCAGGACCCAUGUCCCUGUUUGUCACCGUGUUUCAAGGGACACGGAGCGGGGGGCAGCUGAGUACCCCCCGGUGCCCAGCACUGAGCCGGGGGCGACCGGGCCGUGGAUGCCCCUCACCUCCACGGCUGCACCCCUCUGCUCUGUGGGGGUCUGGGCAGUGGGCAGGCCCAGGAUGGAGGGUCUGGCUACCAGCCCAUUCCCGGUGCCCCCGGAUCCUCACCAGAUGACGACUUCCUGGUGUGGUGGUGUCAGGCCGCCUGGCCUCUGCCCCGACCCUCCGCCCGGGAGUUUCCUUUGCCCGCUCAGCCCCCUGGACGGGGUGCCCUGGGGCAGGUGGCUGCGCCUCUCGUGCCGACCCCCGCCUCCUGCUCGGCGAGCGGAGACUGGGGCUCAGCCUUCGUGGCCAGCACCCCCGGGGGCCCCAGGCCCUCCCCCCCACCCCGGUUGUUGGAGCCGCCAGCCGCGGGGUCCCCAGCUACUCACACGGCCCCUCGGUGUGGCGACCUCUGCGACCUCGUGAGCCCAGCGCUCCCCACCUGAGGGAGACAGGAGUGAGCAGUGCGGGAACUUGCACGGGCAACAAGGCACAAUUUUGGCCAAACCCGCUUGACAGGUUCUUGGUUCUCUCAGCCAGGAGCAGAAGGGAGGCAGAGACUGCCCGAAGCUGCCCAACGGGUUCUGUCUCCGCGCAGAAAGUGGCAGGACGGGUCGGGGCUGAACCCACACAGACCCGGGAUUGUUUCCCCAUAGUUACCGUGUGGCCUGUGCCUCUGGCCUCCGCCGGACACCAGGGCCCGCGGGGAGGGGGCAGCAGGCCUUGUCGCCGUAGGGCAGGGCCUGUGGGGGCCCCUCUUGCCUACGUCCCCGCUCAGCAUGGGCUGACCUCCCUGACCUCAGUUUCC